Eptatretus burgeri (inshore hagfish) is the source of this 2690-nucleotide long non-coding RNA. NCBI's taxonomy places the organism in Eukaryota, Metazoa, Chordata, Myxini, Myxiniformes, Myxinidae. The record is from Ensembl.
GCGGAGCUGCACGAGCACAUUUGGGGAUGACUAUAUUGAUUGUGACGUGAAAUGUUAGCCUGGAAAUUUGUUUGAGGAGAUGUGCAUUGACUUGAGACCGUUUGCAGUUCCUCAUGAUACUUCACCGAUGGAGAAGGAAUCGACUGCUGCGCAAACAACACAAAAAUCAAAGAAGAAGAAUGAUAAGAAGACUCAUCCAUCUCAGCCUGCCGGUGCUUCUGCCGAGCCUGGACUGGUGCCGGCAGUUUGGAAGGUUGAGCAAGGGCAGUGUACCGGAGCAGAUGGAACGGAAUCACCUGUCCCGGGGGAAACGACGCCUACCUGUCAAUCAAGUGAUUUGAUUGAUUGUGAAAGCAAGGACAAUUGCAUGUUUAAUACCAGAGUGGAAGAUUGUGAUGGAGGGCUCACAAAGAAGCAGUUUUUAAAAAUGCUGCGUCUUUGUCCGAACGCUACGACCAACUCCGAGGAACAACCGGAAUCGAAGCGACGGUGCAUCUUCCUUCCUCCUGAUGCACCUCCGUCCACAAAAGUUCUGGAGAAAGAGGGUUCACGAGCUCCAAACACUGCUGAAAAUCAAAAGGCAAUUGUCCAAAACGUUCCAAGGAGAGAGUCUGCACACAUCAAUGAUGCAUCAUGCACAACCAACCAUGGAAAUGUGAGAUCAUUUUUAUUUUAUUUUAUUUAGAAACAAUUGAAUAGUCUAUGGUGCUAAUAAAUUUCAAUGUCGGAUCAUUUACAUCAACACUUGGUACCUCCGCCACCGAAGGUGGAGGUAGGUUAUGGUUGCACCCGUCUGUCUGUGAGCAUGACAUGUCAAGUUGUGCGUGGAUUCGGAUGAAAUUUGGUGGGCAGGUUUGGUGUGCGACGAAGAUGAGUCGAUUCUAUUUUGGUGAAGAUCGGGAGAAGAGGAUUAAAAAAUAUAUAUAUAUAUACAUGUUCUUUAAAUGAUUCUUCACAGGGAUAGGGCCAAAAACGACACGAUAUUUUUAAAAGUUAUGGACGGGUUAUGACAAAACUUGCUGGAUCAUUUUGGUAGGUGACGACAAGAACAAGCCGAUUAGAUUUUGGGUCCGGUCUGGAUGAAGAUCCAGCCUACGAGUGGGAUACAAAACGUAAACUCUCUCUUCAUCCUGGUGGAUGAAUGCGCUAUACCGGGUACCAUUCGAGUUUUAAAAUAUAAUUUGUAACCUGCACUAGUCUGACAGAAUGGUGCAGAGGUGAUGCGCUUCGCUGCCCAAUCUGGGUUUGAUUCCCGACCUGGUUAUAAAAUGUCACGUUGGUGCUUCGCAGGUGGAUAUUGCAUGAUUGUCACUCGGAUUGACUUUAAGCUGGGUGUACUGUCUGCUUGCAUUAGUUGGUGGACCUUAAAGAUCACACGGCAUCUACUGUGAAGAAUAGGUGACUUAGCAUGGGCACCCUAAACAAAUGACAAAUUGCUGCCCAAAUCUCCUUCUACCAUAGGUCAGGGCCCGGCCAGUCACUUUGUGGAAGACUUUGGCCAAAAGUCUUACCCGGUCAACCCCCCCGAAGAAGUAGUGGCAGUAUAACUUGGAGGUAUGUGCACUCACUUUUGAGCAGUUAAGCCAAGGUUGAAAUCUCAGCCUGGCUAUAAACUGUCAUCCUGGUGUUUCACAUGCAGGUUGAUUUAUCAGUGUGCGCGCAGUCCCUCGGAAGGACAUUAAACUGGACGUCCUGUCUGCCAGCGUUAGCUCUUCGUGAAAAGUAAGCAUGUCAUUGCGAACACCCUGAACAAACUAAAAUACCUGCAUGUACUGCGGGUAUUGAGUAGCCUGAUCUUCCUGGAGGUUCCUUGACACCAGGUUACACCACCUGCUAUCUCAAAAUAUGGUUGCUAUCUGGGAAGCAGUUUCUAGCCUUCUACCCAACAAUUCGACCAGGUGGUUUGCAUAUCUCCUGUCAACGGCCUUCUUCAAAUACGAGGGGCAACCACGAACAAUAGCAUCUGCAGCAGUGGUAUUCAAACACAUCACUUUUGCAAAAUACUGCGCACAAACCAGUGCCCAAGGAAGUGACGUCAUUCCUGCAUAGUGGUUUCAAAAAGAUUCAAGACCACAAUAUGCAGUUGCUCGUGAAUCGGAACCGCAGUUAUUGAGCUGAAACGCUGCUUGCUGAAAUAUAUGGGGAAAACAGAAACUUGUCUCGAACAGGAUUCGUGGCAAUGUAUUUCUUACACGAGAAACACCCACUCGUUAAGGGAGCAUUGGCAAGUCGUCCGUCGUCCGCCCCCAAUCUUCCUCCGCCCUGGCAAGACCGGUCUUUAUUUAUUUAUUUUAGAAGAGAAGGGAAGGAACGUGUAUAGACCACAUGGAGGGGGAGGUGGGGGGAGGUGGGUUAAACGUUCUGCUACGUUAGUUUACAUUAUAAGUAGAUGGCCCUGAAUUAACGUCCAUAGACCUGUCAGUAAAGUGACAUUCUUUGGGGUUUUUAAGUGAGGUUGUCCUCACACAGGUUACGCGACCGGUCAUAUGGGUGCCUUUCAUGUUUGGAGGUGAAGCUCCGGGUCAUGACGUCCAACGUGCUUACUCCCGCUGUGCCACGCUUCCUCGAGUGCAGCAAGGACCAUGCCAAGGCCGUACUUGCCCAGGUACAUGGAUGGCCUUUAAAAUCCAGUCGUUAAAUCAGUAAUUCCUUGGUCUGAUGUAUCAUUCUCCUUGACCAAUGUCUUCACA